RNAcentral lists this ribosomal RNA (440 nucleotides) under uncultured Noviherbaspirillum sp. Its description in RNAcentral is "bacterial SSU rRNA". It matches the Rfam family "Bacterial small subunit ribosomal RNA", at positions 358 to 790 of the family's 1533-position model. The record is from RNAcentral. Lineage: Bacteria; Pseudomonadati; Pseudomonadota; Betaproteobacteria; Burkholderiales; Oxalobacteraceae.
GGAAUUUUGGACAAUGGGGGCAACCCUGAUCCAGCAAUGCCGCGUGAGUGAAGAAGGCCUUCGGGUUGUAAAGCUCUUUUGUCAGGGAAGAAACGGUCCGGGCUAAUACCUUGGGCUAAUGACGGUACCUGAAGAAUAAGCACCGGCUAACUACGUGCCAGCAGCCGCGGUAAUACGUAGGGUGCAAGCGUUAAUCGGAAUUACUGGGCGUAAAGCGUGCGCAGGCGGUUGUGCAAGACAGAUGUGAAAUCCCCGGGCUCAACCUGGGAAUUGCAUUUGUGACUGCACGGCUAGAGUGUGUCAGAGGGGGGUAGAAUUCCACGUGUAGCAGUGAAAUGCGUAGAGAUGUGGAGGAAUACCGAUGGCGAAGGCAGCCCCCUGGGAUAACACUGACGCUCAUGCACGAAAGCGUGGGGAGCAAACAGGAUUAGAUACCCUUG